CAACCGCAUAUAUUAAAGUUGUUGCGGCUAAAAAGCUCGUAGUUGGAUUUCUGCCGAGGACGAACGGUCCGCCUCUGGGUGAACAUCUGGAUCGGCCUGGGCAUCUUCUUGGAGAACGUAUCUGCACUUGACUGUGUGGUGCGGUAUCCAGGAUUCCUACUUUGAGGGGAAUUCGAGUGAUUCAAGCAGGCAUACGCCUUGAAUACAUUAGCAUGGAAUAAUAAGAUAGGACCUCGGUUCUAUUUUGUUUGUUUCUAGAGCUGAGGUAAUGAUUAAUAGGGAUAGUUGGGGGCAUUAGUACUUGACUGUCAGAGGUGAAAUUCUCCGAUUUGUUAAAGACUAACUUAUGCGAAAGCAUUUGCCAAGGAUGUUUUUCUUAAUCAAGAACGAAAGUUAGGGGAUCAAAGACGAUCAGAU
This 417-nucleotide ribosomal RNA is filed under the name uncultured eukaryote. Its description in RNAcentral is "bacterial SSU rRNA". It matches the Rfam family "Eukaryotic small subunit ribosomal RNA", at positions 592 to 1013 of the family's 1831-position model. The record is from RNAcentral.